UGCAACAAGUGCCAACAGAAGGGUCACUAUGCCAACAAGUGUACCAACCAGAGGCGUCUUCCUCCUCCUCCUCCUGUCAGAUCGGCAAGUACAGCUGUGGUCAAGCAUAAUCCCAAGCACGCCAAGGUCAAUACGCUGAAUGCAGCUCAGGCUGAGGAUUCUUCAGAUGUCAUUAUGGGUAACCUUCCUAUUAAUGAUAUUCCUGCAAAAGUUCUUUUUGACACGGGUGCAUCGCAUUGUUUCAUGUCAAAGCCAUUUUUUACCAAGCAUGAGUUCGUUUCUUCUCAUUUGGGUAAACAUAUGGAUAUCAUUUCUCCUGGCAAACGUUUGAGCGCAAGUCUGGAGGUGCCAGAUGUCGCUAUCACGAUGGGCGAUUUCAAGUUUCUUGCUUCUCCUAUGGUUCUUGGUAACUCGGAUAUCGAUCUUAUUCUCGGGAUGGACUGGCUCUCUAAGCAUAAAGCUCAGCUUGAUUGUGCAGCCAGGCAGAUUCAACUGACUCAUUCGUCUGAGGAUGUCAUUGUCUUUGCCGCUCGGGAUAAUUCCAUCCGGUUGUUUUCUCUCAAUGAAAAGGGUGAAUUGGAUGCUAUUUCGCAGAUUCCGGUUGUUUGUGAGUAUCAAGACGUCUUUCCAGAAGAGCUCCCA
This 642-nucleotide ribosomal RNA is filed under the name Triticum aestivum (bread wheat). RNAcentral describes it as "partial small subunit ribosomal RNA". The record is from RNAcentral. Lineage: Eukaryota; Viridiplantae; Streptophyta; Magnoliopsida; Poales; Poaceae.